This 253-nucleotide ribosomal RNA is filed under the name uncultured bacterium. Its description in RNAcentral is "partial 16S ribosomal RNA". It matches the Rfam family "Bacterial small subunit ribosomal RNA", at positions 524 to 776 of the family's 1533-position model. The record is from RNAcentral.
UACGGAGGGUCCGAGCGUUAUCCGGAUUUACUGGGUUUAAAGGGUGCGCAGGCGGCGUGCCAAGUCAGUGGUGAAAGCCUGUGGCUCAACCAUAGGACUGCCAUUGAAACUGGUAUGCUAGAGUAUGUUCGAGGCAGGCGGAAUGAGCCAUGUAGCGGUGAAAUGCAUAGAUAUGGCUUAGAAGGCCGAUAGCGGAGGCAGCUUGCCAGGACAUUACUGACGCUGAGGCACGAAAGCGUGGGUAGCGAACAGG